RNAcentral lists this ribosomal RNA (441 nucleotides) under uncultured bacterium. RNAcentral's name for it is "partial 16S ribosomal RNA". It matches the Rfam family "Bacterial small subunit ribosomal RNA", at positions 338 to 795 of the family's 1533-position model. The record is from RNAcentral.
CCUACGGGUGGCUGCAGUCGGGAAUAUUGCGCAAUGGAGGAAACUCUGACGCAGUGACGCCGCGUAUAGGAAGAAGUUUUUCGGAAUGUAAACUCUUGUCGUUAGGGAAGAGAAAGGCCAGUACCUAAGGAGGAAGCUCCGGCUAACUCUGUGUCAGCAGCCGCGGUAAUACAGAGGUCUCAAGCGUUGUUCGGAAGCACUGGGCGUAAGGGGUGCGUAGGCUGUUUCGUAAGUCGUGUGUGAAAGGCGCGGGCGCAACCCGCGGACGGCACAUGAUACUGCGAGACGAGAGUAAUGGAGGGGGAACCGGAAUUCUCGGUGUAGCAGUGAAAUGCGUAGAUAUCGAGAGGAACACUCGUGGCGAAGGCGGGUUCCUGGACAUUAACUGACGCUGAGGCACGAAGGCCAGGGGAGCGAAAGGGAUUAGAUACCCUGGUAGUC